RNAcentral lists this ribosomal RNA (253 nucleotides) under uncultured bacterium. RNAcentral describes it as "partial 16S ribosomal RNA". It matches the Rfam family "Bacterial small subunit ribosomal RNA", at positions 524 to 776 of the family's 1533-position model. The record is from RNAcentral.
UACGUAGGGUGCGAGCGUUAAUCGGAAUUACUGGGCGUAAAGCGUGCGCAGGCGGUUUUGUAAGCCGGGUGUGAAAUCCCCGGGCUUAACCUGGGAAUGGCAUUUGGGACUGCAAGGCUGGAGUGCGGCAGAGGAGACUGGAAUUCCUGGUGUAGCAGUGAAAUGCGUAGAUAUCAGGAGGAACACCGAUGGCGAAGGCAGGUCUCUGGGCUGACACUGACGCUCAUGCACGAAAGCGUGGGGAGCAAACAGG